AUGCAAGUCGAGGGGCAGCGCGGGUAGCAAUACCUGGCGGCGACCGGCAAACGGGUGCGGAACACGUACGCAACCUUCCCAAAACUGGUGAAUAGCCCUCCGAAAGGAGGAUUAAUACACCGUAAGAUAGUGAAGCGGCAUCGCUUUAUUAUUAUAGGCUUCGGUCGGUUUUGGAUGGGCGUGCGCCUGAUUAGGUAGUUGGCGGGGUAACGGCCCACCAAGCCUGCGAUCAGUAACUGGUGUGAGAGCACGACCAGUCACACGGGCACUGAGACACGGGCCCGACUCCUACGGGAGGCAGCAGUAAGGAAUAUUGGUCAAUGGACGCAAGUCUGAACCAGCCAUGCCGCGUGAAGGAUGAAGGUCCUCUGGAUUGUAAACUUCUUUUAUCUGGGACGAAAAAAGCUCAUUCUUGAGCACUUGACGGUACCAGAGGAAUAAGCACCGGCUAACUCCGUGCCAGCAGCCGCGGUAAUACGGAGGGUGCAAGCGUUAUCCGGAUUUACUGGGUUUAAAGGGUGCGUAGGUGGGCAGGUAAGUCAGUGGUGAAAUCUCCGGGCUUAACCCGGAAACUGCCAUUGAUACUAUCUGUCUUGAAUAUCCUGGAGGUGAGCGGAAUAUGUCAUGUAGCGGUGAAAUGCUUAGAUAUGACAUAGAACACCAAUUGCGGAGGCAGCUCACUACGGGAUUAUUGACACUGAGGCACGAAAGCGUGGGGAUCAAACAGGAUUAGAUACCCUGGUAGUCCACGCCCUAAACUAUGGAUACUCGACAUCAGCGAUACACUGUUGGUGUCUGAGCGAAAGCAUUAAGUAUCCCACCUGGGAAGUACAUCGCAAGAUUGAAACUCAAAGGAAUUGACGGGGGUCCGCACAAGCGGUGGA
Molecule: ribosomal RNA, 884 nt
Filed under: uncultured Flavobacteriia bacterium
Lineage: Bacteria; Pseudomonadati; Bacteroidota; Flavobacteriia
Description: bacterial SSU rRNA
Rfam family: Bacterial small subunit ribosomal RNA
Source: RNAcentral